Molecule: ribosomal RNA, 375 nt
Filed under: Triticum aestivum (bread wheat)
Lineage: Eukaryota; Viridiplantae; Streptophyta; Magnoliopsida; Poales; Poaceae
Description: partial small subunit ribosomal RNA
Source: RNAcentral
AUGGCGGCGUUACCACCGCCACUCCUCACGAUCCCUGUCGACAAGCCCGCAGCCCCGGCCACGCAGCACAAGACCGACGACGGCUACCACACGCCCACCUCGCCGCCGUCUCAAGCCAAGAUGAUCUGCCCGCCGGCGCCGAGGAAGAUGAAGCCACGCAAGAGGAGGAGGAGGAGGCAGCUGCUUGAGAUGCCGCCGGAGGCCAUCUCCUUCUCCGAGGAGGAGCUGGACGCGGUGUUCAGGGAGAGGACCACACCAGCGGCAGCAGUAGAUCCUGCUCCUCCUCCUCCUCCUUCUUUCUCUUAUUCUGGCAGUGCUGAAAGCGAAACGUCGACCACCAACGGCGGCAGCUGCAGCAAGAAGAGGAAGCGAUAG